GGAUGCGCUGCGGAUCGGGAGCCGCGACGCGCCCCGAAAGCGCGCGGGCCCAAGGGCCCUGUGGGUUCGACUCCCACCGCAUCCG
RNAcentral lists this transfer RNA (85 nucleotides) under Bifidobacterium adolescentis. RNAcentral's name for it is "tRNA-Ser". Lineage: Bacteria; Bacillati; Actinomycetota; Actinomycetes; Bifidobacteriales; Bifidobacteriaceae. The record is from RNAcentral.